UGGGGAAUUUUGGACAAUGGGCGAAAGCCUGAUCCAGCAAUGCCGCGUGUGUGAAGAAGGCCUUCGGGUUGUAAAGCACUUUUGUCCGGAAAGAAAUCCUUGGCUCUAAUACAGUCGGGGGAUGACGGUACCGGAAGAAUAAGCACCGGCUAACUACGUGCCAGCAGCCGCGGUAAUACGUAGGGUGCAAGCGUUAAUCGGAAUUACUGGGCGUAAAGCGUGCGCAGGCGGUUUGCUAAGACCGAUGUGAAAUCCCCGGGCUCAACCUGGGAACUGCAUUGGUGACUGGCAGGCUAGAGUAUGGCAGAGGGGGGUAGAAUUCCACGUGUAGCAGUGAAAUGCGUAGAGAUGUGGAGGAUACCGAUGGCGAAGGCAGCCCCCUGGGCCAAUACUGACGCUCAUGCACGAAAGCGUGGGGAGCAAACAGGAUUAGAUACCCUGGUAGUCCACGCCCUAAACGAUGUCAACUAGUUGUUGGGGAUUCAUUUCCUUAGUAACGUAGCUAACGCGUGAAGUUGACCGCCUGGGGAGUACGGUCGCAAGAUUAAAACUUAAAUGAAUUGACGGGGUCAUAGCUGUUUCCU
RNAcentral lists this ribosomal RNA (584 nucleotides) under uncultured bacterium. RNAcentral's name for it is "partial 16S ribosomal RNA". It matches the Rfam family "Bacterial small subunit ribosomal RNA", at positions 355 to 1375 of the family's 1533-position model. The record is from RNAcentral.